CUUAUCUCAUCGCCACUCCUCUCCUUCUUUUAUCCAGAUCGCCAAUUCCUCCGCACAUCCUAAUCCAGCGCUGGUCCUCUUCUUCUUCUCCAUCCAAUCUAGCCAAGAGCUGCACGUGCGCGGGGCCGUGGUGGCUGGCCAGCGCAGCACCCCCUAAUCGGCGAUGAACCAGAGACCGCCUAGGCUGGCACCUUGGAGCUCCUCUGCCUCGUCCUGAUCUGGCCGUUCGCCCCAGUCGUCGGCCCCGUGCUUCGGAUCAGGCCAGAAGCCUUGCCUACGACCUGAUUCAGACUGCGUAGCCUUCGCCACCUGCGCAAUGCCCCAGAGGUUCGGCCGAUCCCGCGUCGCUCAUUCUCGCUUCUUCCUUUUCUCGCGGCUCGCGUUGACUGCGAGAGGCCACAUGCCUCGUCCAACCACAUCCUCUCACUGCCUUGCUCCUCCACCACCACUUCUCUCCCUUCUUCCUCCCCUCCCUGCCAGCCAGGGCACUCUCCCUCUCCCACCUCCGUUCGCCGCAGGUGAGUGCGCGGCUACGGGUGUCUGGCCAGCAGCAACAGCUGCGGCAGUUCCGCGCCAGGAGAAGCCGCGCGCUGGGCGAUGCGGAGGACGACGACCUGCCGCUUCCUCAUUCGGGCGUCCUCCUCUGCGCCGUCGAGAGACGACCAUGGCCGCCCGAUGCCCGAGCACCGCCGGCCAAGGAUCCGCCGGCGUCCAGACCCCCUCAGGCCAUCCCCAUCUCGCCAGAGACCUACACCAAGUCCCAUCCAGCGCCCGCGCCACCCUUCGGGCCCCGCCCCGCAGCUCUGCAGCCCGAGCGCUUCGGCCGCCUCGCACCCGAAGCAGAGGAGAGGAGCUCCCUACCACGAGCCUCUCCAGCCCCGGCAAACCAGCAGGCCGACCCGGCCUCCUAGUCACUUCCCUCCUUCCUUUUUUUCCGGCGGUACGCAUCACCCCUUCCUUGGCUUCUGCGGGAAGCCGGCGGCAAGCUGCGGCCCGUGCCCGGCGGUGGAGAAGGCAAAUGGAUACGCAGUGGUGGUGCCCGGUGGUGAAGCAGUUUAAUUAAGUACUGUGGGUAGAAUUGUAACAAAUGCAGGGGUUUUUAUGUAAAAACGAAGCGUUUUCUCACGUAUCCACUUAAAAUAGGAUUGCGGAUUGAAUUCUCAAAAAUGAAGGGGCUUUUCUGCAAAAGUGCAGACGACG
This 1200-nucleotide ribosomal RNA is filed under the name Triticum aestivum (bread wheat). RNAcentral describes it as "partial small subunit ribosomal RNA". Lineage: Eukaryota; Viridiplantae; Streptophyta; Magnoliopsida; Poales; Poaceae. The record is from RNAcentral.